This 708-nucleotide long non-coding RNA is filed under the name Parus major (Great Tit). Its description in RNAcentral is "lncRNA (ENSPMJG00000011000.1)". The record is from RNAcentral. Lineage: Eukaryota; Metazoa; Chordata; Aves; Passeriformes; Paridae.
CCCCGGCCGGAGGAGCCCCCGGUCCCGGCAGCGCCGCCGCCCAAGCUCCGGUGCCGCCGGCGCUGCCCGGUCCGGCCCGUCCUGCCGGGACUGCGUGGAUCCAGAUGCUCCCUCCAGCCUCUCUUUUUCUGCUCCUUCUGCUCCUCCUCCUCCGAUCCCACCAGCGCUGCCUCCCCCUCUCCCUUUAAUCGACGUUUCCGCUGAAAUGUACCCGGUUCCACGCAUUUCUUUGAUCUCACUAAGGGAAGAAGGGGGCUAUAGAAGAAAUUAAAUCGGCGCUGAAGGAGGAAAGGCAAGAGGAAAACACUCUCGGGGGAGGUUGUUAAAUGUCGCCUCUUUCACACCAGAGCAGCAGAGGCUGGAGGCAAGUUGCUGUCGCUGAGGAGGGGCUCUGGUUCUCCCAAUCUGUACCCUGCCAGCUCUGCUGGCAACCGGCGUCAGUGGCCGGCCACGGUCUGUCCCGUGAGCCGAGCAAUCGCUGCCUUUGGACGGCCACAGGACCACGAGGAUGGAGCUGUGUGUAAGCCUGGAUUGACCUGCAGCAGCAGAAAAUGUCGAGCAACCACCGAUCUCCCUGAAAGGAGUAAAACCAUUAGAAAAUCCACGAGGAAACCCGAGUGGGUUGUGAACACCUGGGCCUUGUGGCUGGAAACACGGGGAGCUCUGGGAGGACCCUGACAGCUCUGGUGGGGGUGCGGGGGGUGUUGU